Molecule: ribosomal RNA, 55 nt
Filed under: Trichoderma brevicompactum
Lineage: Eukaryota; Fungi; Ascomycota; Sordariomycetes; Hypocreales; Hypocreaceae
Description: 5.8S ribosomal RNA
Source: RNAcentral
UCGAAUCUUUGAACGCACAUUGCGCCCGCCAGUAUUCUGGCGGGCAUGCCUGUCC